Molecule: unclassified non-coding RNA, 337 nt
Filed under: soil metagenome
Description: partial contains 5.8S ribosomal RNA, internal transcribed spacer 2, and large subunit ribosomal RNA
Rfam family: 5.8S ribosomal RNA (bases 1-120)
Source: RNAcentral
GAUGAAGAACGUAGCGAAAUGCGAUAAGUAGUGUGAAUUGCAGAAUUCAGUGAAUCAUCGAAUCUUUGAACGCACAUUGCGCCCCUUGGUAUUCCAUGGGGCAUGCCUGUUCGAGCGUCAUUUGUACCUUCAAGCUCUGCUUGGUGUUGGGUGUUUGUCUCACCUCUGCGUGUAGACUCGCCUCAAAACAAUUGGCAGCCGGCGUAUUGAUUUCGGAGCGCAGUACAUCUCGCGCUUUGCACUCAUAACGACGACGUCCAAAAGUACAUUUUUACACUCUUGACCUCGGAUCAGGUAGGGAUACCCGCUGAACUUAAGCAUAUCAAUAAGCGGAGGA